This 6103-nucleotide long non-coding RNA is filed under the name Prunus persica (peach). RNAcentral describes it as "long non-coding RNA (PPER_LNC005915)". The record is from RNAcentral. Lineage: Eukaryota; Viridiplantae; Streptophyta; Magnoliopsida; Rosales; Rosaceae.
UACUGAAGGCUUGAAGGUAAAGUGGCCCUAAUCACUGGUGGGGCGAGCGGCAUAGGAGAGUCCACUGCAAGACUCUUCUCAAAACAUGGAGCUAAAGUUGUGAUUGCAGAUGUGCAAGACGACUUGGCUGAAUCUGUUUGCAGAGACCUAAGCCCUUCGCCCACUUUGUUUGUCCAUUGUGAUGUAACGAAAGAAGAAGACGUCGAAAACGCUGUCCAAACAACCACAAACAAAUAUGGAGAGCUAGACAUCAUGUUCAACAAUGCAGGUAUAAUUGGCACGAAUAAACCCAACAUCCUUGACAAUGACAAGGUAGAAUUUGAGCAAGUGAUAAGGGUAAAUCUAGUUGGUGCGUUUUUGGGGAUCAAACAUGCAGCUCGUGUUAUGAUCCCAGCUGGAAAAGGUAGCAUAAUAAACACUGCUAGUGUUUGUUCUACCAUCGGGGGUUGCGCAUCACAUGCAUACACAAGUUCAAAGCAUGGUUUAGUAGGGCUGGUGAGAAACACGGCCGUGGAGCUUGGACAACAUGGUAUUCGUGUGAAUUGUGUGUCACCGUAUGCAGUUGCCACGAAGUUAGCAAAGGAGUUCUUUAAGAUUGAUGAUGAUGGAGUUCAUGGUGCUUAUUCCAACCUUAAAGGUAGGGUUCUUAAGGCAGAAGAUAUUGCUGAAGCUGCUCUUUACUUGGGUAGUGAUGAGUCAAAGUAUGUUAGUGGGCAUAAUCUUUUGGUAGAUGGAGGCUACACUAUUAUGAACGCAGGGUUUUGCAUGUUUGAACAAGCUUGAGAAAAAUGUUCAAUGUAAUAAGUUGGCAAAAUAAAUAAUUUGCGCAGCGUCUCUUACGAACCCUUACUUGUGAAUGUUUGCCACAUAACACAGCACAGCAGCUUCCUCCAGUGGCAGUAAUACUUGUGAUAUUCAUUUUUUCUGUGCCAUCACAUGCGUACCCUGUCCUAAAUUGUACCUAAGUAUAAAUAUCUCUUCCACAAACACAUGCCACACCUCGACAUUAAACAGAGAAGCACUAAUUCACACCAUUUUUAAAAUAAUUUUUUUUUUUAUAACAAAUUACAAAGAAGAUCCUCUUCCAUGUAGCUGGCAUGGCAUGAAAGAGAUGUUGUAAAUAUGUGGAUGGCCCACAACUAUUAGGAUGAAGACUUUUGUGUGUUAUAGGUGAAAGUGAAAAGACUAAAGUUAAGGCUGUGUAGAAAAUGUUACAACACCCGGUGAAUUGCUUAUCAAAUUCACUGUGGUAGCUGUAAAUUUUCGCUAUAAAAGGAAUCCUGAGCUGAUGAAGCUAGACACACCAAUCAAAAGAGAAAAAUGAGAGAGAAAUCAGAGAGUUAAGUUUUAUCCGAGAGAGAAAAUUCUAUUAGUGUAAUAUCACAACAGCAAAUACAAUCUCACUCUAAUAUUCACUAGUACUUUCAUAUUUUAUAACAAAAGAAGCAAUAAUUCACACAAGUGUCUUUUUCUUUUUUGAUGAAAACAAAAAUUACAAAGAAGAUACUCUACGAAUCUUUAAAUAAAAUAAAUCAAAUUUGAAAUGUAUAAAACCUGAGAUGGGAAAUUGAUAAACCAUAUCAAGGGUCCCACGACUGCAACGUGGGUAAUUCUUUUAUUUUCCUGCCCUAUAGCUGACAUGGGAUGAAAGGGAAGAAGACUAGGGUAAUUUUAAUCUAAUAGAUAUGCUCAUUCUACCGCAAUAAUAAUACUAAUAAUAAUCUAAACAUAUCGAGAUAAUUAUUGUUGUGACUGUAACACCGCUCGUAAUGUUGUUAAACCAAUCCGCAAAUGUUUUCACACAUAUAUUUGACUUUAAAUUAUAUUAUUUAUUUAUAUUAUAACAUGUAAGUUUAUAAUAACAUCAUGUUAUCGUGCGUUAAUAUCUUAUAAAAAAUUUAUCUUAUAAUUAUAUUCAACAUAAUUGAGUUCAAUCACAUACGGUGUGAGUGGUAGUUGGUAGCACAAAUAAUUGUUCUAAAUAUAAGCAUAUGGUGUGAAAAGUAUUCAUAACGUGCUGCAUAAAAUUCACAUGGGUUGUUUGAAAGUUCUAAAUAUAAGCAUGUGGUGUGAAAAGUAAUCAUAACGUGAUGCAUAAAAUUCACAUGUGUUGUUUGAAAGUUCUAAAUAUAAGCCUGCGGUGUGAAAAGUAUUCAUAACGUGCUGCAUAAAAUUUACUUGUGUUGUUUGAAAUCGACUUAGAGCUAGUUGGGUAUUGCUGUGCUUUUUUUAAAAUUUUAAAUAAUAAAAAAAAACUGCUUUUGUUGUGCUAUCAUAAUAAAUAGCUGUGAAAUGAAGCAAUGAAGUAUUUGGUAAUCUAUAUUUGUAAAAGUGUUGUGAGUAUAAAAAACAGUGUCAUAGUGUUUGGUAAACUUUUUUCAAGAAGUACUGUGAUUGUGUAUAAUGACCAAAAAGGGUAUGAUAUUGAAAUUUUAUAUUUAUAUUUUUUCUAAUUUAAAAAAAUUGAUAUUUAUGUUCUUUUACAAUGAUUUACAAUUUUUUUAAUAAUCUUAAUAGUAACUAGUCUCUGCGCUUCCGCACCUAAGAGAGGCUUUUUAAAAAAAAAUUAUUUAUUUUAGAAUUAAAAAAGAUAAUGGGUAGUUGUGUUUCAUAAAAAUAAUAUUUUUCUUUUAUUUUUAAUAUGAAAAAGUGUGAAUUUACCAUAUUAUCCUCAUUUAAUUAAUAAUUUUAAUUCUUAAUGUUUGCAUUAACCAAGUGCAUUUUCUGUAUUUUGAAUGUUUUACUAUUCUCUGCCUUUUACUUUAUAUAAUAGUCAUAUACACUAAAAAAAAAAGAAAAAAAAAAGAAAAAAUGGUCUCUGGAAUUCUUUUAAUGGUCUCUGUUUUUUUUAACAUUGCCACCAUCGACCUGCAACCCACGCCCAACUUCCCUACCCUCUCCCUCUGUAAUUUCUCUCCUCCUUUAACCUCCCCCUCUGUUUUUAAUUAUUUUAAGUUGUUUGAAUAAAUGUUUGUGUAAAAGGAAAUGUGAAACUACCUUGUGCAAGUAAUUAUUUUGCAAAAUAUACAGAGGGAGAAGGGUGGGUUGCGGGUGGGCAUGGGGUGGUCGGGUUGUAGAGACAAGAAAAAAACAGAGGGAGAGGGAGAGCAGAAGAAGGAGAGAGGGUAGAGAGAGAGAGAGAGAGAGAGAGAGAGAGAGAGAGAGGCUAAAUGAAUUUUUAAUGGAUUUUCAUAAAAAAAAAUUAGUUAUUUAUUUAUUUAAUCCACAUGUCAUGAUGUGAUUGGACAUGUGGGCUCCACUUAUCUUCCACAUCAGACACUUAACAUAAUAUCUAACGGCAGAGACCAUUUGUGAUUGAAAAAAAAAAGUAAAUUUAGGUUUUAGCCAUAAAAAAACUUUCACUUUUGGAAAAAGCCAAAGCUUUUUCAAAAAAGACAGAAAAACCUCUCGACUUUCUAAUCAAAGACAUGCAAAUGUAAAGGAUUCCUUGAGAAAUCCAAAAUUAAAUAAAGGCAAUUUUGUCCAUUUUGACUUCUUUUAAAAAAUUUCUCUCUCCUUUGGGUUUUUCCAAAGUCUCCCAAAAAAAAACCCUAACGUUAAGAACUAUUAAUGUCACAAAAAACCUCAAAGACCGAUCGUGAUAAUUUUGUAAACGUUAAGGACUAUUUAUGAUUAAAAAAAAACUUUAAAAAAUUAAAAAACAGUUUUAUCUUGAUUUACCAAACACUUUUUCAUUCAGAAUUUUAAAAUCACAACAACUCCAAUCUAAGCCUUAUAAAUACAGCUACAAGUCUACAACAAAGUUACACUCGGAAGUCCAAAGGAGAGCUUAGAAUGACUUUGGUGUAGGUCUCAAGAAGCAAACAUUCUUGUUAUAGAGGUUUAAAGGAGUGAUGGCUAUCGGAAAUUUCUCAUUACUAGCUGCUGCUGCAAGAAGGUAUAUUAUAAUUUAUAUAUGCAUCUAUUUAUUUUCUUCUAUUUGCUUUUUUUUAUCCUCUUCACACCUCCUAAAAUCUUAUUAUUUUCAUUUUAUCCUAACUUGUCCCAAUUAAAACAAGAUGAUUGUAUUCUUCUUUGUUUUUUCUUUUGUUUUCUAGGAUGGUCGUCGAUGUCAUGACUAUGGCUCUGGUAACUAUCAUGGCUGUGUCCUAAAUUUUUUUAUGAAUUCUAAUUAUGUUUAAAAAAAAUAAUAAUAAUAAGAGGAUGAACAUAAGAUGUAAAAAGAAAUAGAAUUAAUUGAUUUCAAUCGGUCUUUGACUCCUGUCAAAAAAAUUAAAAUAAAAUGGGGCUUUGAUUAAUUAGUUAUUUUCCACAGAAAACAACACUCAGUAGUUAAGCCGACCAUUGUUGUUGGUGUACUCUUUGUAUUGACACUUUGUGGCUAGAGACCCUCUUUAUGGUUGUAUUAUUGAAGUAAUUUUCAGUUGCUAAAGAUGUCCUUACUUUGUUUCCUUUUUCAAUAUUUCUCAAUAGUUUCAUUAUAACGUUUAUAUUAAAUGAAUGUUUUAUAUACAUUUUUAUUUCAUGAAAAAUAAAUAAAAAUAAAAUCUAUAAAAUAGACCCAAGGGUGAAAUCGAAUCAAUGACUAUGGUGGGCUGUAGCCCAAGUAGAUUUUGAAGGAAAAAAAAAAGUCUAUUUAUAUGUUCCACCAGCAACAAUUUUGCUGCCUUUUGGCGAAAGUUUUUUUAAGGUGAAAAAAAAAAAAGGCUAUAUGGCCCACCAUCAAAUACAACACAUAAGAUUCAGGAAAUAUAUAUUUUUUUUUGUCAAAUCAAUUUGUGUGCUCUGCUACUAGCCUCUCUGCACGCGCUUCCGCGCUUGCGAGAGGUUUUUUUAAAAAAAUAAGUAAAUUUAUUUUAGAAUUAAAAAAGAUAAUGGGUAGUUGUGUUCCAUAAAAAUAGGAUCCAUUAUCUGCUUUUUCUUUUUCUUUUAAUUUUUUUAAAUAUGAAAAAGUGUGAAUUUACCAUAUUAUCCUCAUUUAAUUAAUAAUUUGAAUUCUUAAUGUUUGCAUUAACCAAGGGCAUUUUCUGGUAUUUUGAAUGUUUCAUCAUUCUCUACCUUUUACUUUAUAUAUAUAGAUUUAACAAAAAGGGAAAAGCUAUUUAAUAUUGGACGGUCCAAUAAAAAUCCUCAUAAAUCUUUCAACCCGCAAUUGCAGACUCGGUAAGUAAUUGAAAUUCAUAAGUAAGAAGAGGGCUUCAAAAAUGGAACAGUAUGUUAACUAUUGUUUUGUGUUUACAACUAACACACACACACACACACACACUAUAUAUAUAUAUAUAUAUAUAUAUAUAUAUAUAUUCCUAGCUAAAAAUUUUGAUGUCUCUUUUUAGCUAAAAUUUUUAGGUAGCCCAUCCAUUGAUAAAUUUCUAGUUCCGCUUUAGUCACAGUUCCGCCCUAGUCACAUAAGGAUAAUGUACAUGAAAUUUAUUGAAGUCAAUUACAUUAAAACUCUUUGAGAUAUAUACAUAAGCGAUAGUCUAAAUUAUUCUAAAUUAAUCUAAUCUUCAAAGAGAGGAAUUUGAAAUUGGAGUGCACAGGCUCUUUGCUGUGUCAAUUAAAUUAUGAACCUAUGAUUUAACCCUUACACCUUUGACGAAUAUCAUAGCACAAUUAAAUUAUGAACCUAUAUUUGCUAAUUAUCUUACAAGAAGAACAUUGGAGACUAGGGAUCGGAGACAAAAACUCUAUUUUAUUUCAAAAUUUUCCCUUCAGUAAUUUUUAUAUGAAGUUCAUUUUCCCCUUUGUCGUUCUAAAUCCAACUUCCUUAUUUACAUUGAGUGGAACACAAGACUUUCGCCAUUGUUAUCAUGUUUUUUUGUUGAAACUCACAUUGCUUUGUAAAUACUGAAGGCUUGAAGGUAAAGUGGCCGUAAUCACUGGUGGGGCGAGCGGUAUAGGAGAGUCCACUGCAAGACUCUUCUCAAAACAUGGAGCUAAAGUUGUGAUUGCAGAUGUGCAAGACGACUUGGCUGAAUCUGUUUGCAGAGACCUAAGCCCUUCGUCCACUUCAUUUGUCCAUUGCGAUGUAACGAAAGAAGAAGACGUCGAAAACGUUGUCCAAACAGCCACAAACAAAUAUGGAAAGCUAGACAUCAUGUUCAACAAUGCAGGUAUAGCUGGCAUGGUAAAACCCAACAUC